This 520-nucleotide ribosomal RNA is filed under the name uncultured Glomus. RNAcentral describes it as "SSU rRNA". It matches the Rfam family "Eukaryotic small subunit ribosomal RNA", at positions 569 to 1090 of the family's 1831-position model. Lineage: Eukaryota; Fungi; Glomeromycota; Glomeromycetes; Glomerales; Glomeraceae. The record is from RNAcentral.
AGCAGCCGCGGUAAUUCCAGCUCCAAUAGCGUAUAUUAAAGUUGUUGCAGUUAAAAAGCUCGUAGUUGAAUUUCGGGGUUAGUAGGCUGGUCGUGCCACUGGUACGUACUGGUCUCACUGAUUCCUCCUUCCUGAUGAACCGUAAUGCCAUUAAUUUGGUGUUGCGGGGAGACUGGACUGUUACUUUGAAAAAAUUAGAGUGUUUAAAGCAAGCUAACGCUUGAAUACAUUAGCAUGGAAUAAUGAAAUAGGACGUUCGAUCCUAUUUUGUUGGUUUCUAGGAUUGACGUAAUGAUUAAUAGGGAUAGUUGGGGGCAUUAGUAUUCAAUUGUCAGAGGUGAAAUUCUUGGAUUUAUUGAAGACUAACUACUGCGAAAGCAUUCGCCAAGGAUGUUUUCAUUAAUCAAGAACGAAAUUAGGGGAUCGAAGACGAUCAGAUACCGUCGUAGUCUUAACCAUGAACUAUGCCGACUAGGAAUCGGAUGAUGUUAAUUUUUUAAUGACUCAUUUCGGCNCCUUA